UACAGAGGGUGCGAGCGUUGUUCGGAAUUACUGGGCGUAAAGCGCGCGUAGGCGGCUUUGCAAGUCGGGUGUGAAAUCCCCAGGCUUAACCUGGGAACUGCAUUCGAGACUGCAUUGCUAGAGUAUGGGAGAGGGAAGUGGAAUUUCCGGUGUAGCGGUGAAAUGCGUAGAUAUUGGGAGGAACACCAGUGGCGAAGGCGGUCCCCUGGGCCGGAACUGACGCUGAGGCGCGAAAGCGUGGGUAGCAAACAGG
RNAcentral lists this ribosomal RNA (253 nucleotides) under uncultured bacterium. Its description in RNAcentral is "partial 16S ribosomal RNA". It matches the Rfam family "Bacterial small subunit ribosomal RNA", at positions 524 to 776 of the family's 1533-position model. The record is from RNAcentral.